RNAcentral lists this ribosomal RNA (804 nucleotides) under Streptomyces carpaticus. RNAcentral describes it as "bacterial SSU rRNA". It matches the Rfam family "Bacterial small subunit ribosomal RNA", at positions 64 to 881 of the family's 1533-position model. Lineage: Bacteria; Bacillati; Actinomycetota; Actinomycetes; Kitasatosporales; Streptomycetaceae. The record is from RNAcentral.
GAACGAUGAACCGGUUUCGGCCGGGGAUUAGUGGCGAACGGGUGAGUAACACGUGGGCAAUCUGCCCUGCACUCUGGGAUAAGCCCGGGAAACUGGGUCUAAUACCGGAUACGACACUCCGAGGCAUCUUGGAGUGUGGAAAGUUCCGGCGGUGCAGGAUGAGCCCGCGGCCUAUCAGCUUGUUGGUGGGGUAAUGGCCUACCAAGGCGACGACGGGUAGCCGGCCUGAGAGGGUGACCGGCCACACUGGGACUGAGACACGGCCCAGACUCCUACGGGAGGCAGCAGUGGGGAAUAUUGCACAAUGGGCGAAAGCCUGAUGCAGCGACGCCGCGUGAGGGAUGACGGCCUUCGGGUUGUAAACCUCUUUCAGCAGGGAAGAAGCGAAAGUGACGGUACCUGCAGAAGAAGCACCGGCUAACUACGUGCCAGCAGCCGCGGUAAUACGUAGGGUGCGAGCGUUGUCCGGAAUUAUUGGGCGUAAAGAGCUCGUAGGCGGUUUGUCGCGUCGAUUGUGAAAGCCCGGGGCUUAACCCUGGGUCUGCAGUCGAUACGGGCAGGCUAGAGUUCGGCAGGGGAGACUGGAAUUCCUGGUGUAGCGGUGAAAUGCGCAGAUAUCAGGAGGAACACCGGUGGCGAAGGCGGGUCUCUGGGCCGAUACUGACGCUGAGGAGCGAAAGCGUGGGGAGCGAACAGGAUUAGAUACCCUGGUAGUCCACGCCGUAAACGGUGGGCACUAGGUGUGGGCAACAUUCCACGUUGUCCGUGCCGCAGCUAACGCAUUAAGUGCCCCGCCUGGGGAGU